UCGAUUCGCACUUGACUAAAACCCAAGGCGUGUGACCUAUUUUUCUCCAACACUGACCGAUUCUUUCUCUUCUUCUUCGCGGCGACCUCUGUUUUCCUGGAUCGGUCCCUCGAGUGCCAGGGAGAAGGAGAAGCUCCCAGAGAGGUCACCGCAAAACCCUACUUCCAUCCCGCACUUCCUCUAGCAUAUUUAUUGGUUAAAAUCUAGCUUGAAUCUUCCAUAAUCUGCUCCACUAAGCUUCCCUUAUCCUCUCUCCACUUCAAUGUCAAAGUCCCAUGGUCUUUGGCAAAGUUCCAGACGAACUGGUAGUUUCCAAGAAAUUGGGGCAUCUCUUUGAAAGGAAAUUGAGAGAGAGAGAGAGAGAGAGAGAGAGAGAGAGAGAGAGUGUUAGAAGGCAACAGAAAGUCCCCCUCAUCAUCGACCACCAUGGCGGACAAGCCAUAGGCGGUGCGUGUCCUCUACUGUGGUGUUUGCGACAUUCCUGUGGAGUACUGCGAGUUUGGCCCUAACUUAGAGAAGUGCAAGCCUUGGCUCCGUACCCACGCUCCCGAUAUGUACCCUGAUCCUCAAAGAUGCAGACAAAGCCGCCUAGUAGAUGAAGUCGGUGGCGAUUUUGGGUUCCACUGACGCAAGGGGAGAUGCUGGUGGGCUCCUUCAGGUAGGUAGUGCUUCAACAUCUAAGCAAGAAGAAGUAAAGCACCUUACUGGUGGUAAGAUAAAGAAGAAGGGACCAACCGAGAAAGAACAGAUUGAUGUGUAAGGAAAUAUUGCCUAUGAUAUUGUGGAAUUCAUUACCAAGACUUGUCAUAUGUAUCACUAUAUGAUUUCUUACAGACGUCUACAUUUCUGGACGACCAUUAGAUUUGCUAAAAGUUCAAUUACUAAUUUAGCACGAGAUUAUUUAGGAUAAAAGUUGUGUGAUUUGUAGUAGAAAGUUAAAGAAAGAGCUUGCUAAUUUAGCACGUGAUUUGCUGGACUAUGGUUUCUAGUAUAUUUUUAACCAGAGUAA
Molecule: long non-coding RNA, 1009 nt
Organism: Zingiber officinale
Lineage: Eukaryota; Viridiplantae; Streptophyta; Magnoliopsida; Zingiberales; Zingiberaceae
Exons: 5
Source: RefSeq, a predicted model, not a curated record